This 388-nucleotide long non-coding RNA is filed under the name Capsicum annuum. RNAcentral's name for it is "long non-coding RNA (CANN_LNC009250)". Lineage: Eukaryota; Viridiplantae; Streptophyta; Magnoliopsida; Solanales; Solanaceae. The record is from RNAcentral.
UAUUGCUUAUUUUAAAAAAGAAUAAUAGUACUGCUCUCUAAUUUGGCGACUGACCACACAUCUGGUCUUCAUUUCAGGAAACCAUUUUGGUGUUGAUCUGAUGCAUAGGAAAGCGGAGUUGAAGGCUAUUAUCACUGAUGUAAUAAAUAACAUGAGUGAUGAGGAAGAUGGUGAUGACUCUGAAGCUGAGAAAGAUGAAAAUAAUGAAGGCGGUGACCCUGAGGCUGAGAAUGAUGAAAAAAAUGAGGGUGAUGAUCCUGAGACUGAGAAUGAUGAAGAAAAAAUUGAAGGUGAUGACCCUGAGGCUGAGUGCGAUGAAGACAAAAAUGAAGUUGAUGAUAGUGAUGCUUAGUUUACGAGUCAAGUAGAAGGAUAGGUAUUAGGUGCU